Molecule: ribosomal RNA, 427 nt
Filed under: uncultured bacterium
Lineage: Bacteria
Description: partial 16S ribosomal RNA
Rfam family: Bacterial small subunit ribosomal RNA
Source: RNAcentral
UGGGGAAUAUUGGACAAUGGGCGAAAGCCUGAUCCAGCCAUGCCGCGUGUGUGAAGAAGGUCUUCGGAUUGUAAAGCACUUUAAGUUGGGAGGAAGGGCAUUAACCUAAUACGUUAGUGUUUUGACGUUACCGACAGAAUAAGCACAGGCUAACUCUGUGCCAGCAGCCGCGGUAAUACAGAGGGUGCAAGCGGUAAUCGGAAUUACUGGGCGUAAAGCGCGCGUAGGUGGUUUGUUAAGUUGGAUGUGAAAUCCCCGGGCUCAACCUGGGAACUGCAUUCAAAACUGACUGACUAGAGUAUGGUAGAGGGUGGUGGAAUUUCCUGUGUAGCGGUGAAAUGCGUAGAUAUAGGAAGGAACACCAGUGGCGAAGGCGACCACCUGGACUAAUACUGACACUGAGGUGCGAAAGCGUGGGGAGCAAACA